Molecule: long non-coding RNA, 543 nt
Organism: Gallus gallus (chicken)
Lineage: Eukaryota; Metazoa; Chordata; Aves; Galliformes; Phasianidae
Source: Ensembl
UGAACAGAUUUCUCUCCUUUGCUAUUUGUAUUCCUACAUGUCAGUGAUCUGACAAAGACCCUGUUUUGACUCUUGUUGUCCCUCAAACUGAGGGUAGCUGUUAAUGAAGAAUGUCCUCUUGAGCUGCCUUAGAUUUGGACCUGCUCUGUGAUCAUCUGCUCACUGGUUUGAGUCUUCUAAGUUCAAGUAUGCAGUGAGCCAUCUGUGAAGAGUGCUGCUUAGCAGGACACUGAGGCUUCCUUUUAUUCAGGAGUUUGCAGCACAGGAGGUCUCCAGGUGUGGAAGUAGGACUCAUAAAUCCCUGUGCUGCUUGCUUCUAAAAUGUGUUACUUAAGAAGUAGAAUUUGGCUGAUUAGGAUGGAAAGAUCAUUUGAGUAAAUGAAUGGCAUGUUCUGGAUUACUUUCCUCUUCAGCUCCUCAAGCAGUGCUUGCUGACCAAAGUGCAUUAAAUAACUGCAUAAAAUAUUUGUGGACUGACUCUCAGGCACAGCAGCAAAAACUGACAUUAAAAAAAAAAAAGGAAAAGAGGGACUUACUGAAAAA